RNAcentral lists this long non-coding RNA (210 nucleotides) under Elaeis guineensis (African oil palm). RNAcentral's name for it is "long non-coding RNA (EGUI_LNC046180)". The record is from RNAcentral. Lineage: Eukaryota; Viridiplantae; Streptophyta; Magnoliopsida; Arecales; Arecaceae.
GGCGAGCAAUGCCUGAAGGGAAAGAAACUAUUUCUGUUCGGAAGGCCCAGGUUGCAUCUAAAAAUUUUUCUAUUCAUCUACAUGAUUAAAAAUCAAAUUUUUAUCUAAUUAGUAGUGAAAUCAGAGAUCAAAUCUUAAAUUAUCUGAAGUAAAUCUUUGCAGAUGUCGAGAUGUGUAGACCCUGUACUUCGCAUGCACGUUAGACGCCGC